UGCGUAGGCGGGUUUCUAAGUCAGAGGUGAAAGCCUGGAGCUCAACUCCAGAACUGCCUUUGAUACUGGAAGUCUUGAGUAUGGCAGAGGUGAGUGGAACUGCGAGUGUAGAGGUGAAAUGCGUAGAUAUAGGAGGAACACCAGUGGCGAAGGCGGCUUACUGGACGGUAACUGACGUUGAGGCUCGAAAGCGUGGGAGCAAACA
RNAcentral lists this ribosomal RNA (205 nucleotides) under uncultured bacterium. Its description in RNAcentral is "partial 16S ribosomal RNA". It matches the Rfam family "Bacterial small subunit ribosomal RNA", at positions 568 to 774 of the family's 1533-position model. The record is from RNAcentral.